RNAcentral lists this ribosomal RNA (292 nucleotides) under uncultured Planctomycetota bacterium. RNAcentral's name for it is "uncultured planctomycete partial 16S ribosomal RNA". Lineage: Bacteria; Pseudomonadati; Planctomycetota. The record is from RNAcentral.
GGACUACUGGGGUAUCUAAUCCCGUUCGCUCCCCUAGCUUUCGCGCCUCAGCGUCAGAAGAGGUCCAGUACGUCGCUUUCGCCACCGGCGUUCCUUCCGAUAUCAACGCAUUUCACCGCUCCACCGGAAGUUCCACAUACCCCUACCUCCCUCCAGACCAUCAGUAUCCAAGGCACUUUUCCGGUUAAGCCGAAAGAUUUCACCCCGGACUUGACAGCCCGCCUACGCGCCCUUUAAGCCCAGUGAUUCCGAACAACGUUCGCACGGUUCGUCUUACCGCGGCGGCUGGCAC